Molecule: ribosomal RNA, 253 nt
Filed under: uncultured bacterium
Lineage: Bacteria
Description: partial 16S ribosomal RNA
Rfam family: Bacterial small subunit ribosomal RNA
Source: RNAcentral
UACGGAGGGUGCGAGCGUUAAUCGGAAUUACUGGGCGUAAAGGGCACGCAGGCGGGCUGUUAAGUCAGCUGUGAAAUCCCCGGGCUCAACCUGGGAAUUGCAUUUGAGACUGGUAGUCUUGAGUAUUUUAGAGGGGGGUAGAAUUCCAGGUGUAGCGGUGAAAUGCGUAGAGAUCUGGAGGAAUACCGAAGGCGAAGGCAGCCCCCUGGGAAAGGACUGACGCUCAUGUGCGAAAGCGUGGGGAGCAAACAGG